UAAAGGUCAGGGAGGGCGCUAGCAGCGGCUAACCGGCAGAGAGUCGGUGAACCGGGGAACUACCGGGGACACAGCGGGGAAGGAGCGAGGAGAGAUGGGGCAGAGAAAUAAGACAGGAAACACAAACACCACCGGUGUUAAACGUGUAGAAAAAGCAGAUUUAUUCCUGGAACUUUGCACCGCGGACAAAGCUAACUGUAGCUAACAGCUAACGUUAGCAUGGCGACCAUUUUAGAGCCGCCAGAGAGGAGACGGACCGGAGAGAAACCCGAGAUAGACCAGAGACAGAGGCGGGAGGAACGGACCGUGACACCGGGAAACUGACGGUAAAACCUCAGACGCUGUUUCGGAUGGACUGUGGGAGCACCAGCAGGUUGACCUAAUGAAGCUUCAGGACAGAGUGGAGGACAAACGGCUCCUACAUGAAGGUGGUGAACAGGUCUUUUGGAUCGUUGCUCAGACAUGAGGGACCAAACAGGGACGAUGUAUUUCUGCUGGGGGGUCUGGAGAUGCAUUCAGUGCAGCUCUGCAACACUCAGGGUUCCGCUGAAGAACCUUCAUCUGGUCCACCAUCUACUAACACUGAAGAACAUCUGGUCCACCUUCCACUACCACUGAAGAACAUCUGGUCCACCAUUUACUGCCACUGAAGAACCUUCAUCUGCUAUCAUCUACUGCCAUUAAUAAACGUGGUGUCU
Molecule: long non-coding RNA, 698 nt
Organism: Amphiprion ocellaris (clown anemonefish)
Lineage: Eukaryota; Metazoa; Chordata; Actinopteri; Pomacentridae
Source: Ensembl